Long non-coding RNA from Gadus macrocephalus (Pacific cod), 2636 nucleotides. RefSeq lists it as uncharacterized. The transcript is spliced from 2 exons. Lineage: Eukaryota; Metazoa; Chordata; Actinopteri; Gadiformes; Gadidae. The record is from RefSeq and is a predicted model, not a curated record.
CUCUCUCUCCCUCUCUCUCUCUCCCUCCCUCUUGCACUCUCUCUCCCCCCUCUCUCUCCCUCCCUCUUCCUCACUCUCCCUCUUCCUCACUCUCCCUCUUCCUCUCUCUCUCUCCUCUCUCUCUUUCUCUCUCUCUCUCCCCCUCUAUCUCUCUCUCUCGCUGUUUUUCUCUCUUUGUCACCUGUUUUGCUCUUAUAGUAGCAUAGUUUUGGGGUUUGCAUCCAUGACACCACAUUCACAUGACCUAUUCCAACCCUUGCAAUAACAAAAAAUAGUGGGGAGAAUCUCAACAUAGAAAUCCUCUCACUGCAGGCCAGAGCCAACUUGAGACAAAACAGUGGUCGUAGUAGAAUCGAAAUAACUAUAUGAAACAAUCAAACAUCUUUGUACGUUAAACUUACCCUCUUUCUUUCACUGCUUUCCAUUUACACAACUCAGGUAUAUCUUUCUAUUUCUCACCUCUCAUACCUCUCUCGCGCUCUCUUUCUUUAUCUCCAUGUCCCUCUCUCUCUCUACUUUCUCGCCCCCAUAGCAAAGUGUGUUCUUCUGAGCUGUUGAAACAAUGUACUGUAUGUAUAGAAAUGAAGAGACUGAACCGUGUUCCUGUUUUGCUUUGCAUUGCUUUGCCCCUAUGUGCGUCUGUACGACACGUGUGUGUUCGACUUCAGAUGUGUUCCCCUUGUGUGCAACUGCACCUCCCUGACUUCCUCUCUGAUGUCACUUCCCCUUUUACCCUUUUCAAGCUCCAAAGCCACCACUCAAUUCUAACCUUUUCCCAAAAUUCAUAUUUCAAUAGAUUUGAAAUAGGUAAACGUUGAUUGUCCUGACCCCACACACACACACACACACACACACACACACCUAACUCUAAACGCAGAAUCCAGAUGGGACAUACAUACAAUGGGUGGAUGGGUGUCAUCAUCCCCCAUUUUCUUCCUGUUCGUCCAAAACAACUCCAUAGAGCUGAUCCAGUCAGACCAUCCGGGAGGAAGACAGGAAUCACUGUAAUGUUUUUGUUCUUAACGAGAGCCCAUUGAUCAGCUGACGUGUGGUGCUGUAUUGGGAUUGGGUGCUGGUUUUUGGCGGGAAUGAGGGGUUGGGGGGGGGCUAUGAAAUGACGUGUUCUGAUUGGUCAACUGAGGAACAUCAACAGGGGCAUGAAAUGAAGGAGGAAAAAAUUGUGGCGAGAAAGAAAGUAAAAGUUUUGGUGAGGAGGAAGAGGAAGGAGGAGGAAGGAGGCAAGAGGCAAAGUGCUUCUCACUCCAUUGUUGAGUUUCUAACUUCCCGCUGUACCUGAGCAAAGAGGAACGACAAAACAAACGUGCAAUAGUCCUCGACGCAAAGACAUGGGGUAGCAGACUCACGAGAGAGAGGAAAAGAGAGAGGCCAUGAGAACAUAAGGAGAAAGAGAGAGAGAGAGAGAUAGAGAGAGAGAGAGAGCUGAGGGUGGAAAAACAAGAAAAUAUCCUGCUUUUUGUUGCUUGGUUAACGUGAUAAUAAUCUUCUUCAAUCCUGUCUCUGUUGAAAGCUCCUGCUUUCCCCACUCUGCUCAGGAGAACAUUGAAUGGACCAAUGACAAGAGAGCAUAUGUCCAUGCAACCUUUAAAUUCAUAAUGAAGAGAGGUAAUGCAUUGGAUGACGUAGGAAACCAAUGUAGCACCAAAUUCCUUUGACCACAACAGCUUUUUUUUAACACAUUCUUUAUUCAGCGUCCUCUUUUUUUUCCGGUUUUUCAGUCAUUCUUGUUUUCCGAUCAUCCUUACCUCGCAACGGACUAUGCAACGUGAGAAAACGCCAGACCCUGAUGUCCUAAGUGGAUCAAGACUGGCCCAGAUGAUGUCGUGAGGCACAGGACUAUUUUAUCAAAACAAGUCUCUCACAGAGGAGGACAGGAUGCUACACACACACACACACACGCACGCACACACACACACACAUACUGUACACACAGGAUACAUCCGUCAGAUCCCAUGCUAUUUUGUCGUUGUCAUCAUGACCCUGUGUCAUGGUCGUAGCAGUUGCCAACUUCGGGACUCCGAGGAACAAACACGGGGCGGCUUUCAUUUGAAAGCUCCCCAGAUAGUUCAGCCACUCCCCUCGAUUGCUGCUGGAGCCCGCCCAAACAAAAACACAGACAGAUGGCAACCCUGCUGUUAGCGAGGCCUGAAGAGCGCGGGAGCAGAGGGAGGAAAGAAAAGAAAGACUGUGUGCUUUGCGGGACGGACAACAAACCGAAAGAGGACAGAAUAACCUCCAAUCGUCUCUUGAAAGGCAGCGACCGCGACGAGGGAGUCGACGGAAAAAGACAUUGUUCUAUUUUGAGUGCCCGGCACACUUUAUCGUCAUUUUAGCAUAUAUCCCUUACCUCCCCCCCUCCCCUCCCUCUCUCUCUCUCUCUCUUUCUCUCUCUCUCUCUCUCUCUCUCUCUCUCUCUCUCUCUCUCUCUCUCUCUCGCUCCUCUCUCUCUCGCUCGUUCUCUCCCUUUCUCCAUCCCUCCCUCCCUCGUUCUCUCGGACAACGUCUUCCACUCCCUCCCUGCAUCUCAGCAUUGCUGCUGCUCUUUUGUAGCAAAAAAACUGCAUGGCAUGACCAAAAAAAAAAAAAAAAACUGAACCCGAAGAAAGACAGUAUAAAAA